This 253-nucleotide ribosomal RNA is filed under the name uncultured bacterium. RNAcentral's name for it is "partial 16S ribosomal RNA". It matches the Rfam family "Bacterial small subunit ribosomal RNA", at positions 524 to 776 of the family's 1533-position model. The record is from RNAcentral.
UACGUAGGGGGCUAGCGUUGUCCGGAAUCAUUGGGCGUAAAGCGCACGUAGGCGGACCGCUAAGUCGGAUGUGAAAGCCCUCGGCUUAACCGAGGAAGUGCAUUCGAAACUGACGGUCUUGAGUAUGGAAGAGGGUCGCGGAAUUCCCGGUGUAGAGGUGAAAUGCGUAGAGAUCGGGGGGAACACCCGUGGCGAAGGCGGCCGGCUGGGCCGUUCCUGACGCUGAGGCGCGAAGGCGUGGGGAGCGAACGGG